GAUGAACGCUGGCGGCGUGCCUAAUACAUGCAAGUCGAGCGAACAGACGAGGAGCUUGCUCCUCUGACGUUAGCGGCGGACGGGUGAGUAACACGUGGAUAACCUACCUAUAAGACUGGGAUAACUUCGGGAAACCGGAGCUAAUACCGGAUAAUAUAUUGAACCGCAUGGUUCAAUAGUGAAAGACGGUUUUGCUGUCACUUAUAGAUGGAUCCGCGCCGCAUUAGCUAGUUGGUAAGGUAACGGCCUACCAAGGCAACGAUGCGUAGCCGACCUGAGAGGGUGAUCGGCCACACUGGAACUGAGACACGGUCCAGACUCCUACGGGAGGCAGCAGUAGGGAAUCUUCCGCAAAGGGCGAAAGCCUGACGGAGCAACGCCGCGUGAGUGAUGAAGGUCUUCGGAUCGUAAAACUCUGUUAUUAGGGAAGAACAAAUGUGUAAGUAACUAUGCACGUCUUGACGGUACCUAAUCAGAAAGCCACGGCUAACUACGUG
RNAcentral lists this ribosomal RNA (497 nucleotides) under uncultured bacterium. Its description in RNAcentral is "partial 16S ribosomal RNA". It matches the Rfam family "Bacterial small subunit ribosomal RNA", at positions 28 to 507 of the family's 1533-position model. The record is from RNAcentral.